AUUGCGGGAAGCAUAACUCCCAGUAGUGGGCUGCUUCCAGGAAGUGCGAGAGGGACGUUGCUGCAGGAGCCAACUACUGAAGCCGUGGGUCGUCGUGCGAUAGUGUUUAAGUGGGAUUUAUCUGCGGAAUUGGACAUGUUGGAUGGCGAGCUAGAGUCUGAAGCUUUAUGCCUGGAACCGAACCAACCCAACUGAAUCCAGCCAACCGAGCCGGGCGGGUGCACGAGAAACGACGCAAGCUCUCCGCUCAUGUGUACGGCCUACUGAAAUGAGGAGGAGGAGGAGGAGGAGGCUGUGACCGAGGGUGUGUGGUUGUGGAGAGAGAGGUGUAAAGGAGUUCACAUUAAAGAAGCGGUGGCUACCGGAC
This is a long non-coding RNA of Nerophis ophidion (straightnose pipefish), 367 nucleotides long. RefSeq lists it as uncharacterized. The record is from RefSeq and is a predicted model, not a curated record. The transcript is spliced from 5 exons. Lineage: Eukaryota; Metazoa; Chordata; Actinopteri; Syngnathiformes; Syngnathidae.